RNAcentral lists this ribosomal RNA (405 nucleotides) under uncultured bacterium. RNAcentral's name for it is "partial 16S ribosomal RNA". It matches the Rfam family "Bacterial small subunit ribosomal RNA", at positions 28 to 526 of the family's 1533-position model. The record is from RNAcentral.
GAUGAACGCUGGCGGCGUGCCUAAUACAUGCAAGUCGAGCGAAGAGGGGACGCGUGAGUAACACGUGGAUAACCUCCUAUACAACUGGGAUAACUUCGGGAAACCGGAGCUAAACCGGAUAAUUAUAGAUGGAUCCGUGCUGCAUUAGCUGGGUGGUAAGGUAACGGAUUACCAAGGCAACGAUGCAUAGCCGACCUGAGAGGGUGAUCGGCCACACGUGAACUGAGAAACGGCCCAGACUCCGACGUGAGGCAGCAGUAGGGAAUCUUCCGCAAUGGGCGAAAGCCUGACGGAGCAACGCAGCGUGAGUGAUGAAGGCCUUCGGAUCGUAAAGUGCUGUUAUUAGGGAAGCGGUACCUAAACAGAAAGCCACGGCUAACUACGUGCCAGCAGCCGCGGUAAUAC